This 462-nucleotide ribosomal RNA is filed under the name uncultured bacterium. Its description in RNAcentral is "partial 16S ribosomal RNA". It matches the Rfam family "Bacterial small subunit ribosomal RNA", at positions 28 to 507 of the family's 1533-position model. The record is from RNAcentral.
GACGAACGCUGGCGGCGUGCUUAACACAUGCAAGUCGAACGGAAAGGCCCUUCGGGGUACUCGAGUGGCGAACGGGUGAGUAACACGUGGGUGAUCUGCCCUGCACUUUGAGAUAAGCCUGGGAAACUGGGUCUAAUACCGAAUAGGACCACGCGCUUCAUGGUGUGUGGUGGAAAGCUUUUGCGGUGUGGGAUGGGCCCGCGGCCUAUCAGCUUGUUGGUGGGGUAAUGGCCUACCAAGGCGACGACGGGUAGCCGGCCUGAGAGGGUGACCGGCCACACUGGGACUGAGAUACGGCCCAGACUCCUACGGGAGGCAGCAGUGGGGAAUAUUGCACAAUGGGCGCAAGCCUGAUGCAGCGACGCCGCGUGAGGGAUGACGGCCUUCGGGUUGUAAACCUCUUUCACCAGGGACGAAGCGUAAGUGACGGUACCUGGAGAAGAAGCACCGGCCAACUACGUG